ACGACUCUCGACAACGGAUAUCUCGGCUCUCGCAUCGAUGAAGAACGUAGCGAAAUGCGAUACUUGGUGUGAAUUGCAGAAUCCCGUGAACCAUCGAGUCUUUGAACGCAAGUUGCGCCCAAAGCCGUUAGGCCGAGGGCACGUCUGCCUGGGCGUCACG
Molecule: ribosomal RNA, 160 nt
Filed under: Convolvulus oxyphyllus
Lineage: Eukaryota; Viridiplantae; Streptophyta; Magnoliopsida; Solanales; Convolvulaceae
Description: 5.8S ribosomal RNA
Rfam family: 5.8S ribosomal RNA
About the family: 5.8S ribosomal RNA (5.8S rRNA) is a component of the large subunit of the eukaryotic ribosome. It is transcribed by RNA polymerase I as part of the 45S precursor that also contains 18S and 28S rRNA.
Source: RNAcentral